Molecule: ribosomal RNA, 431 nt
Filed under: uncultured bacterium
Lineage: Bacteria
Description: bacterial SSU rRNA
Rfam family: Bacterial small subunit ribosomal RNA
Source: RNAcentral
CAUCGGCUAACUCUGUGCCAGCAGCCGCGGUAAGACAGAGGAUGCGAACGUUGCUCGGAUUUACUGGGCGUAAAGCGCGUGUAGGCGGUCUCGUUAGUCGGGUGUGAAAGCCCCGGGCUCGAACCCGGGAAGUGCACCCGAUACUGCGAGACUGGGGUACUGAAGAGGAGAGCGGAAUUCCCGGUGUAGAGGUGAAAUUCGUAGAUAUCGGGAGGAACACCAGUGGCGAAGGCGGCUCUCUGGGCAGAUACCGACGCUGAGACGCGAAAGCGUGGGGAGCAAACAGGAUUAGAUACCCUGGUAGUCCACGCUGUAAACGAUGACGACUGGGUGUUGCAGGUAUUGACCCCUGCGGUGCCGAAGCCAACGCGUUAAGUCGUCCGCCUGGGAAGUACGGCCGCAAGGCUAAAACUCAAAGGAAUUGACGGGGG